RNAcentral lists this ribosomal RNA (433 nucleotides) under uncultured bacterium. Its description in RNAcentral is "partial 16S ribosomal RNA". It matches the Rfam family "Bacterial small subunit ribosomal RNA", at positions 29 to 507 of the family's 1533-position model. The record is from RNAcentral.
AACGAACGCUGGCGGCAUGCCUAACACAUGCAAGUCGAACGAGACCUUCGGGUCUAGUGGCGCACGUGUGCGUAACGCGUGGGAACCUGCCCUUAGGUUCGGAAUAACUCCCCGAAAGGGGUGCUAAUACCGGUUAAUGUCUUCGGACCAAAGAUUUAUGGCCUUUGGAUGGGCCCGCGUUGGAUUAGCUAGUUGGUAGUGUAAAAGCCUACCAAGGCGACGAUCCAUAGCUGGUCUGAGAGGAUGAUCAGCCACACUGGGACUGAGACACGGCCCAGAAUCCUACGGGAGGCAGCAGUGGGGAAUAUUGGACAAUGGGCGAAAGCCUGAUCCAGCAAUGCCGCGUGAGUGAUGAAGGCCUUAGGGUUGUAAAGCUCUUUUACCCGGGAUGAUAAUGACAGUACCGGGAGAAUAAGCUCCGGCUAACUCCGUG